This 301-nucleotide ribosomal RNA is filed under the name uncultured bacterium. Its description in RNAcentral is "partial 16S ribosomal RNA". It matches the Rfam family "Bacterial small subunit ribosomal RNA", at positions 509 to 807 of the family's 1533-position model. The record is from RNAcentral.
CAGCAGCCGCGGUAAUACGUAGGUGGCAAGCGUUGUCCGGAAUUAUUGGGCGUAAAGCGCACGUAGGCGGCUUUGUAAGUUAGAGGUGAAAGCCUGGGGCUCAACUCCAGAACUGCCUUUGAGACUGCAUCGCUUGAAUCCAGGAGAGGUCAGUGGAAUUCCGAGUGUAGAGGUGAAAUUCGUAGAUAUUCGGAAGAGCACCAGUGGCGAAGGCGGCUGACUGAACUGGUAUUGACGCUGAGGUGUGAAAGCGUGGGGAGCAAACAGGAUUAGAUACCCCUGUAGUCCCUGUCUCUUAUAC